AGGACGAACGCUGGCGGCGCGCUUAACACAUGCAAGUCGAGCGAGAGCCAGACCUUCGGGUCUGGGGACAGCGGCGAACGGGUGAGUAACACGUGGGUAAUCUGCCCUCGAUUCUGGGGAUAGCCCGGGGAAACCCGGAUUAAUACCGGAUAGCCUCUUGAGCUUUCGGGCUCUCGAGAAAAGGUAGCUUCGGCCUCCGAUCGAGGAUGAGCCCGCGGUGGAUUAGCUUGGUUGGUGGGGUAAUGGCCUACCAAGGCGACGAUCCAUAGCUGGUCUGGAGAGGACGAUCAGCCACACGUGGGACUGACGACGACGGCCCAGACCUCCGUACGGGA
This 335-nucleotide ribosomal RNA is filed under the name uncultured soil bacterium. RNAcentral describes it as "bacterial SSU rRNA". It matches the Rfam family "Bacterial small subunit ribosomal RNA", at positions 26 to 346 of the family's 1533-position model. The record is from RNAcentral.